GCGCCCGGGCCGGCAACUCCCUGGGAGUUCGGCCCGCGCCGGGAACUCGCCCAGCAGCCUGCGUUUCUCGAGAGUGGGCAGCCGGCUCCCGGGCGUCCCUCCCACUGGCUGCGGGGGGCCGGGACUGGGCGGUAGUGGAGGCAGGUCCUUGGACUGCAGGCUGAGGCUUUUUCCCCCCACGAGCGGUUUGGGCCCUCCAGGAGCCCCCGCGCGGGGGUCACGUGGAUUACGCUAGGUGAGAGCCGGAGAGGCUGCGCGACCCUCGGGAGGCUCUCUGCCUCCGCCCUUUGUCCUUUGCCCCUGAUCAUGAGCGCCCCAGGCCCAGGGACCUCCUUCGGCGGAUGAGGGCUGGCAGAGACCUGGCGGCUCAGACUCACGGGGCAGGAACCUAGGCUAUUCCUUGUGCAUCCCAGGAUUUUACCCAUGAACGAGAACAUGAACGUGUUUUCAACCCCAGCGGUUCCCCUGGCGCCUCAACCCUCCUUUGAAGAGUCAUUCUAGAAGGCUGUAUUGAGAUACUGUUUGUAUCUGUCACUGUGAGCCCUGAAAAGAGACAGAAGAAAACGCGAGUCCCUGGCCUGAGGGUGCUCCGUCCCGUGGGGUAGCCAGGGAACUCCACUUCAGCAUUCUCCUGUGGCGUAACAUUACCUGCCACUUAUGCUGGUUCCCAUGCGCCAAGCUAAUUUCAACAGCGGGUGAAGUGGGCAUCUCCAUGUGAUGGCUGAGGAGACAGAUUCUGGGUGUUGCUGCUAAGCCUCAUGGAGGCAGCCAUGACAGAGCA
Molecule: long non-coding RNA, 781 nt
Filed under: Pongo abelii (Sumatran orangutan)
Lineage: Eukaryota; Metazoa; Chordata; Mammalia; Primates; Hominidae
Description: lincRNA
Source: RNAcentral